Molecule: long non-coding RNA, 553 nt
Filed under: Triticum aestivum (bread wheat)
Lineage: Eukaryota; Viridiplantae; Streptophyta; Magnoliopsida; Poales; Poaceae
Description: long non-coding RNA (TAES_LNC005051)
Source: RNAcentral
AACGUUGCGUGAGGGACAUUCAUCUUCCACCUGAGCCGCAUAUGCAACUAAUUGUUCAAUAAACAUUCUUGCAAGAGCAAGAGGCUCGCCACUGUUGGUCGUUAGUACUGUUGCUUAUAAUUUCUUCACUUCAACUUAUAAGGCAACAAAGUAAUGCUUGAUGCACGACUUGAUACCUUCAAGGAUAAGCUGUCUGGAAAGCUUCUACCUGAUCAACCAGGUAUUUGCCAUAAUACUACCUGAUCAUUAGACUCACUUUUACUUUUAUUCUCUUAACUUUUUACAUGAUUAUUUUACAUUGACCCAGGGAUUCCAUAGUGUAUUCUCUCCAAUGAAGUCGAUAUAGCCAUAUACCAUUCUUCAGAGAAUGGAAUAGGUGAGUAGAACAAAACUAUAGGUGCAAAGAGCAAGCAUGAUAUAUGGCGAUGUACUGAAUACAUUUCAUGCAGUUAAGUAAAAGAACAAAUGUAUCAGAGAAGUUCUUUACUACUUAUCUUGCAUGUACAGAACGAUUAUUGUUAUACCUCGCUGAUCAAUGAUAAAAGAUGUUGAA